Molecule: non-coding RNA, 384 nt
Organism: Equus caballus (horse)
Lineage: Eukaryota; Metazoa; Chordata; Mammalia; Perissodactyla; Equidae
Source: RefSeq, a predicted model, not a curated record
ACUGGCACUUUUUCUCAGUCAUCUUCUUUGAAUUCACAUUUCCUUUGUAUAACUUUAAAUGGUGGAUGUUCCCAGGGUGUAGUUCUCAGCCUUUCUCUCUGCCAAGCACUUCAGAAUCCAGUAUUUCCCAACUGAACCACCCAGGGGUAUAAUAUACAGUAUUGUGCCUGGAUCACAGAAGGAGACCAAAAAAUUUAUGUUGAAAUUAAUGAACUAAAUAAAGGAAAUCCAGGAGUGGUAAGUUUUGGGAGGAAGAAAGAAGAUGUCCAAAUCUUGAAGUGUUGCCUAGAGAAGGAAGACCCAUGUGGGAGGAUGAAAUAGGAGACUUGGCUUGUAGAUCAACAUGGGGACACUGGACCCCAUGAUAAAAAGAAUAAUGGAGAA